RNAcentral lists this long non-coding RNA (310 nucleotides) under Mus spicilegus (steppe mouse). RNAcentral's name for it is "lncRNA (ENSMSIG00000020167.1)". The record is from RNAcentral. Lineage: Eukaryota; Metazoa; Chordata; Mammalia; Rodentia; Muridae.
UUUCCUAAAGCUGGUAGUGGAACUGAAGCUGCUCAUGGACCCUCCAUCCUCAUUGCUGAGCCAAUCUUCAUUCUGACCAAAUAUGGUUCUUGUCCUUGUCCCUGAGCGUGGGUGCUCAUUCCUAUCUUCUAGAGACCUGCCUCCAGAGCACAGCCCAGCACUGGUUGGGAGACAGGACCUUCAUGGACACCUUGGAAUCCAGAUUCUGGAUUGACAUCUUGCUGCCCUGUUCAUGACUUGGCUGGACCAGAACAGUGGCCAUCCUGAGUCGCAGACCUCCUCUGUAAAGGAGAACACGCCUGUAAAGGGU